UGCGUAGGCGGAAAAUUAAGUCAGUGAUGAAAUCCUGCAGCUUAACUGUAGAACUGUUAUUGAUACUGAUUUUCUUGAAUUCAGUUGAGGUAGGCGGAAUGUGUAAUGUAGCGGUGAAAUGCUUAGAUAUUACACAGAACACCGAUUGCGAAGGCAGCUUACUAAGCUAUGAUUGACGCUGAGGUACGAAAGCGUGGGGAGCGAACAGGAUUAGAUACCCUGGUAGUC
RNAcentral lists this ribosomal RNA (228 nucleotides) under uncultured bacterium. RNAcentral describes it as "partial 16S ribosomal RNA". It matches the Rfam family "Bacterial small subunit ribosomal RNA", at positions 568 to 795 of the family's 1533-position model. The record is from RNAcentral.